AGGGUUGUGGCUCAGUGGUACAGCACUUGUCUAGCAUGCAUGAGACACUGGGUUCAAUUCUCAGCACCACAU
This 72-nucleotide transfer RNA is filed under the name Ictidomys tridecemlineatus (thirteen-lined ground squirrel). RNAcentral's name for it is "Spermophilus tridecemlineatus (thirteen-lined ground squirrel) tRNA". It matches the Rfam family "tRNA". Rfam says of the family: Transfer RNA (tRNA) molecules are approximately 80 nucleotides in length. Their secondary structure includes four short double-helical elements and three loops (D, anti-codon, and T loops). The record is from Rfam by way of RNAcentral. Lineage: Eukaryota; Metazoa; Chordata; Mammalia; Rodentia; Sciuridae.